Molecule: ribosomal RNA, 454 nt
Filed under: uncultured bacterium
Lineage: Bacteria
Description: bacterial SSU rRNA
Rfam family: Bacterial small subunit ribosomal RNA
Source: RNAcentral
UACGGGAGGCAGCAGUGGGGAAUAUUGGAUAAUGGGCGCAAGCCUGAUCCAGCCAUGCCGCGUGUGUGAAGAAGGCCUUCGGGUUGUAAAGCACUUUUGUCCGGAAAGAAAAGCUUAGGGUUAAUAACCUUGAGUCAUGACGGUACCGGAAGAAUAAGCACCGGCUAACUUCGUGCCAGCAGCCGCGGUAAUACGAAGGGUGCAAGCGUUACUCGGAAUUACUGGGCGUAAAGCGUGCGUAGGUGGUUUUGUUAAGUCUGAUGUGAAAGCCCUGGGCUCAACCUGGGAAUGGCAUUGGAAACUGGCUUACUAGAGUGCGGUAGAGGGGUGUGGAAUUCCCGGUGUAGCGGUGAAAUGCGUAGAGAUGUGGAGGAAUACCGGUGGCGAAGGCGGCCCCUGGCAAAGCUGACGCUCAUGUGCGAAAGCGUGGGGAGCGAAACAGGGAUUAGAUACC